GUAGGUGGCAAGCGUUGUCCGGAAUUAUUGGGCGUAAAGCGCGCGCAGGCGGUUCUUUAAGUCUGAUGUGAAAGCCCACGGCUCAACCGUGGAGGGUCAUUGGAAACUGGAGAACUUGAGUACGGAAGAGGAAAGCGGAAUUCCACGUGUAGCGGUGAAAUGCGUAGAGAUGUGGAGGAACACCAGUGGCGAAGGCGGCUUUCUGGUCUGUAACGGACGCUGAGGCGCGAAAGCGUGGGGAGCAAACAGGAUUAGAUACCCUGGUAGUCCACGCCGUAAACGAUGAGUGCUAAGUGUUAGGGGGUUUCCCGCCCCCCUUAGUGCUGCAGCUAACGCAUUAAGCACUCCGCCUGGGGGAGUACGGCCGCAGGCUG
Molecule: ribosomal RNA, 374 nt
Filed under: uncultured organism
Description: partial 16S ribosomal RNA
Rfam family: Bacterial small subunit ribosomal RNA
Source: RNAcentral